This 490-nucleotide ribosomal RNA is filed under the name uncultured bacterium. RNAcentral's name for it is "partial 16S ribosomal RNA". It matches the Rfam family "Bacterial small subunit ribosomal RNA", at positions 30 to 507 of the family's 1533-position model. The record is from RNAcentral.
AUUGAACGCUGGCGGCAGGCCUAACACAUGCAAGUCGAACGGUAACAGGAAGCAGCUUGCUGCUUUGCUGACGAGUGGCGGACGGGUGAGUAAUGUCUGGGAAACUGCCCGAUGGAGGGGGAUAACUACUGGAAACGGUAGCUAAUACCGCAUAACGUCGCAAGACCAAAGAGGGGGACCUUAGGGCCUCUUGCCAUCGGAUGUGCCCAGAUGGGAGUAGCUAGUAGGUGGGGUAACGGCUCACCUAGGCGACGAUCCCUAGCUGGUCUGAGAGGAUGACCAGCCACACUGGAACUGAGACACGGUCCAGACGCCUACGGGAGGCAGCAGUGGGGAAUAUUGCACAAUGGGCGCAAGCAUGAUGCAGCCAUGCCGCGUGUAUGAAGAAGGCCUUCGGGUUGUAAAGUACUUUCAGCGGGGAGGAAGGGAGUAAAGUUAAUACCUUUGCUCAUUGACGUUACCCGCAGAAGAAGCACCGGCUAACUCCGUG